Benincasa hispida (wax gourd) is the source of this 2148-nucleotide non-coding RNA. NCBI's taxonomy places the organism in Eukaryota, Viridiplantae, Streptophyta, Magnoliopsida, Cucurbitales, Cucurbitaceae. The record is from RefSeq and is a predicted model, not a curated record.
AUAGCUCUAUCCUUCACCAUUGAGGAGGAGAAUGAAAUCUAUAAAACAUCUCAGCUGUAAUGAAAUUCUUCUCUCUGAUUCAAAGUGGGUGUAGACUCUAAGUCGAACCAAUAUAAUCUCAUUGUGUCAUUCUUCUUCUUCAUUUUCAUUACUAUUUUGAUAUUCGAUUCAACAUCUUCACAAAAUGGAAAGGAGACUUCAACCUUUGGAAGAAAAAGAUGAAGGCUCUUCUUGUGAAACACACAGAAGGUUGUAAAAGCCCUAAUCGAUCCAGGUAAGUUACCUGAAAUUAUGACUGAUGCUGAAAAACAAGAUAUGGCAGAGACUGCUUAUAGUACUUUCAUCUCAUACCUUGCUGAUAACGUUCUCAUAUGAGUUAAUGAAAUAAAAAAUGUAUCUGAACUAUGGACUAAACUUGAUACUCUUUAUAUGUCUGAGUCUCUUACUAAUAAGGUUUAUAUGAAAGAGAGGUUGUUCAGCUUUAAAAUGGAUACAUCUAAAGGUUUGGAGGAGAAUAUAGAUGAAUUUAAUCGCAUUUUUCAAGACUCAGUAAAUUCUGGCGAGAAGUUAGAUGCAAAAAACCAGGUUGUCAUACUAUUAAACUAUCUUCUUGAUAAGUAAAAAGAAAUUAAAUUGGCUAUUAAGUAUGGCAGGGAUUCUCUAACUAUAGACAUUGUAUUAAAUUCUCUUCAAUCAAGAGAGUUAGAACUUAAGACGGAGAAAAAGGAUUCUGAAGCAUUGUUUCUUAAAAGGAAGCAUUCGAAGGGACACAAUUCCAAGUCCAAUAAGCAAUCAUCAAAAUCCAAUUCCAAAUGAAAUCAGAAGGAGAAAGUUACUUGCAAUUAUUGCAAAAAGGAAGGCCACAUCAAAUAUGAUUGCCUUGUUUUGAGGAGGAAAGACAAGUUACCUGUUUGUAAAGAAGCAACAGUUGCAGCAAAUGUUCAUGAAUAUUUUGAGAAUGCUGAAGUCUCGAUGGUUUCUACUAAUGAAGAAUCAAACAAAUGGAACAUGAACUCCGGAUGUACUUGUCACAUGACGCUUAACAAACAUUUCUUCAUUAAUCUUGAAGAAUUUGAUGGUGGUAUGGUGGCCAUGGGUAACAAGCACAAUUGCAGCAUAAAGGGAAUUGGAUCGAAUAGAAUCAGUUUAAGUGAUGGAUCUAAGAAAAUUUUGUCAUCUGUUAGGUAUGUUUCUACCUUAAGGAGAAAUCUGAUCUCCUUGGGAACUUUUGACAAAUUUGGUUUUAACUAGAAAGCUGAAGAUGGAAGAUUAAUUGUUUAUAAAGGCUCUGAGAUUAAGCUGAUAGGAAUCCUUAAGGAUGGAUUGUAUGUCCUUCAAGGAAAUGCUAUUUCAGCUGAAACAAAUUUGAUAUCAAGUGAGGGAGACAAAACCACUAAGCUUUGGCACAGGAGGCUUGCUCACAUCAAUCAGAAGGGAUUAAACUCAUUAUUUCAGCAAGGCUUGAUUGGGAAACACAAACCAAUUGAGCUAUCUUUCUGUGAUCACUGUGUUUUGGGCAAAUCAACUCACCAUGCUUUCAGUAGAAGCACAAUGAGAUCUCAGGGCAAGCUUGACUAUAUACACUCGGAUCUUUGGGGACCAUCUUCAAUUCAAACACAUGGUGGUGCACGCUCUACCAAAUUCACCAAAGACCACACUUUCGAUUCUCACUCCGAGAAUACCAAGGGCUCCAUUUGGUGGUGUCGUCCCCAUUGCUGUUCACUUGUUCAUGACUGUUCGUAUUGCUGUCAUUUGUAUAGACGAUCGUGCUGUUGUAGACGACUUGUUUGCUGGGCGAUAGAGAUCAUGUAGAGGUCUUCCGCUGCGUCUAAGUUCAAAGCUUGAAGAGAGUCUUCAACUGGGGAUUAGAUCCUGGCGACAGCUAGAGGCUGGUGAAAUGAUGAUGUGAGUAGGCACCGGGCAUGUCGUCUCAGUUGUGGCAGUGGGAGGCUCCAGUUAGCUUUACAUAAUAGGUUUAUAGUUUUGAAUGAUGUAUAUAUUGUUCUCGAACUUAAGAGGAACCUGAUUUCUGUAAAGUGUUUAUUGCAAUGUACAUACACUAUCUCUUUUAAUGUGGAUGAAGCGUUUAUACGUAAAAAUGAUGUUUUUAUUUGUACAGCAAAUUUGGAAUCUAAUUUAUAUGUGCUA